RNAcentral lists this long non-coding RNA (1912 nucleotides) under Sorghum bicolor (sorghum). RNAcentral's name for it is "long non-coding RNA (SBIC_LNC002426)". The record is from RNAcentral. Lineage: Eukaryota; Viridiplantae; Streptophyta; Magnoliopsida; Poales; Poaceae.
AACAAGUUAAUCCAUACACGAAUCGAUCGAGGAGAAAAUUAAAGAAAUAUAAUCGAAACAAGAAAAUCAGAUAAAGCAUCAAAGAGGGUCAUGCUUCUAGGGCGCCUGCAUCGCCAGUCAGGUCCGCCUGUGCCGCCAGCUUGGCGUUGGCCGGCCCGGGUGCCCGUGCCGUCGCCUCCCCACAAGCACGCAUCCAGAUACACCUAUGCCGCCGGCCAGGUCUUCCGCGCACAUCGGCCAUGUGCGCCUGUGUCGCUGCCUCCGCGAAGCCUGGCCAGGCCUAAUUCGCACACGGUGGAAGAAAGGAGGAGUAGGGAGGAGCAACGGCUAGAUGGGUAAGCGGCGUAGGCAAGCUACGCUAGCACUGGGAUCAGCUGUCGUACCGACGAGCGAGUGUGAGCGAGGAACUUCGUGAGCGAGCGGCGGCCAUGCCUGUUCGUGUGUCCUGGACAUGUCUGUUCCUUUAUUAAUCAUAUUGAAGAAAUGUGACACACGUACAUGGGCUAGGGCAAAGGCCCAAUAUUUAACAACCGACCAAGGCCAACCCAAAUUUGUUCAAAAAAAUAUUCAUUGUACUACAAAAUUAUAAUAAAGAAAAAUAAAUAUUUAAAAUAAUAUAUAUCUAUAUACCUCUGUAUAACUAAUAUUAAAUACUUCCUGCGUUCCAAAUUAUAAGUCAUUCCAAGAAUCUUGAGAGUCAAAACAUUUUCAAAUUUGACCAAAAAUAUAGAGAGAAAUAUAAAAAUUUAUAUCAUAAAAUAGGUACACUAUGAAAAUAUAACUAAUAAAGAAUCUUAUGAUACUUGGUUGGUACCAAAAAUGUUAUUAUUUUGCUAUAUAAAUUUAGUCAAACUUGAAAAACUUUGACUCUCCAAGAUUCUUGGAAUGACUUAUAAUUUGGGUGUGUGGCCAUAAUUUUCGUCUGACAUCUCUUCCUCGGCCCUCAGACAAAAAUAAGGAAAGAAGAAAUCGGCCAAAAAAUCCAACUCGAAUAAAAAAGAGCUCUAAAUCGAACACAUACUAUGCUAUCGUACACAAGCCCUACCAUAAAAAUCCAUCACAAAAACAACAUUCUUCAAAUCUUGCACAAGGAUCCAAAAUUCAUACCAAAAUCGACCAUAAAUUAAAUACAUUUAGGCAGUAGAUUGAAUCGAACUGUAUAACCAUUCGAAAUCGAAAAAAGACAGUUCAAAGAAGGGAAGGAAGGAAAAAUCCGUAAUCAUGCCACAACAGCAUCAGAUCGAGAGGGAGGAGGCGCGCUAAAGGAUGCGGAUGGAGGUGGCGCACCAACAUCAGAUCGAGAGAGAGGAAGCGCGCUAGAGGAUGCGGGUGGAGAUGAUGCACCGAAGGAAACUCCCUGUGUUUGGCUCUCGUGCGCCACCGACCGGCCUAAUGACGCCACCAUCAAACACCGGUAACUCCAAACGGCUCGGCCACAACUCCGGAUCUACAUGCUCGUGGGCUAGCGAAGGGGGCGCCGAGGUCACCUACUUGCCUGAAUCCAAGCGCGUGGCGGAGCGGAUGCGGGCCUCUGAAUCCAAGCGUGUGGAGUUGGGGAGGAAGCGAGCAAAUGUCAUUUGCCUUGGAGCAAGGGGCGACGGCCGACGGGUGAAUGGAUGACGGACCAAAGGACAUGCGUUUGGAUAUAUGCAGCAGAAAGAUGUGGAGCAGGAGGUGCCACGUAAGUAUUCUCUCCUCUUGAUUUUCCUGAAUUAAUCUCCUCUUCGGCUUUAUGAAGCUCUUCUCUUGGUUUGGGCCUUAUUUAGUUUUAAAAUUUCUUAACAAAAUGGAUACUGUAACACUUCGUUUGCAAUCAUAUUAACUACACUUAAAAAAAUCGUCUCGCAAAUUACAGUCAAACUAUACAAUUAGUUAUUUUUUAAUCUAUAUUUAAUGCUCUAUGCAUAUGCCG